Molecule: ribosomal RNA, 442 nt
Filed under: uncultured bacterium
Lineage: Bacteria
Description: SSU rRNA
Rfam family: Bacterial small subunit ribosomal RNA
Source: RNAcentral
AGAGCGAACGCUGGCGGCAGGCCUAAUACAUGCAAGUCGAACGCACCUUCGGGUGAGUGGCGGACGGGUGAGUAACACGUGGGAACGUGCCUUUUGGUUCGGAAUAAUCCGGGGAAACCUGGCCUAAUACCGGAUGUGCCCUUCGGGGGAAAGAUUUAUCGCCAUUAGAGCGGCCCGCGUCUGAUUAGCUAGUUGGUGAGGUAACGGCCCACCAAGGCGACGAUCAGUAGCUGGUCUGAGAGGAUGAUCAGCCACACUGGGACUGAGACACGGCCCAGACUCCUACGGGAGGCAGCAGUAGGGAAUCUUGCGCAAUGGGCGAAAGCCUGACGCAGCCAUGCCGCGUGAAUGAUGAAGGUCUUAGGAUUGUAAAAUUCUUCAGCGGGAAGAUAAUGACUGUACCCGCAGAAGAAGCUCCGGCUAACUUCGCGCCAGCAGCCGC